GUACACGCUGUGACUAGCAUAUCAAUAAGCGGAGGAAAAGAAACUAACAAGGAUUCCCCUAGUAACGGCGAGUGAAGCGGGAAGAGCUCAAAUUUGAAAUCUUAAAGGGUUUCCCUUUACGAAUUGUAGUUUAAAGGAAGUGUUUUCUGUUGAGGUUUUGGUAAAAGUUCUUUGGAAUAGGACAUCAUAGAGGGUGAGAAUCCCGUAUUUGACCUUUACUUUCAACUUUGUGAUACACUUUCAAAGAGUCGGAUUGUUUGGGAAUGCAGUCCAAAAUGGGUGGUAAAUUUCAUCUAAAGCUAAAUAUUGGCGAGAGACCGAUAGCGAACAAGUACCGUGAGGGAAAGAUGAAAAGAACUUUGAAAAGAGAGUUAAACAGUACGUGAAAUUGUCAAAAGGGAAGCGUUUGACACCAGUGUUGUUUUUCUGAAAAUCAAUUAAAGAACUGUUUAUGCUAAGUUGUUUAGACUUUAUCAGCUAACUGUUUAGUUUUGAGCUUUUCUUUAAUGCACUUUUCAGUUAACAAGUCAACAUCAAUUUCUUUUGCUGUAAAAAAGCUUGAGGAAGGUGGCUUGAGAUUCGUCUUAAGUGUUUAUAGCCUCUUGCCUAUGCAGUCGGAGAGAUUGAGGUCUGCAGCGUAGAUCCUUCGGGGCUAAAUGCAUUUGUGCUAAGUUAUAGCAUUUUAUAGACAACUUGUUGACUAUGAUUUGUCUUGUAGCUUACUCGCUUAUGUUAUUUUACCUACGCUUAGGAUGUUGAAGAUGUAGCACAUCAU
Molecule: ribosomal RNA, 775 nt
Filed under: uncultured Neocallimastigales
Lineage: Eukaryota; Fungi; Neocallimastigomycota; Neocallimastigomycetes; Neocallimastigales
Description: partial large subunit ribosomal RNA
Rfam family: Eukaryotic large subunit ribosomal RNA
Source: RNAcentral